UUAAAAAUCGAGCGCGGGGCUUUGUUCCACAGAGGCUCGGGAGCCGUUGGAGCAAGAGGAGGAGUACCCAAUCUGCAAUGUUCCAUCACACUUCCAAGGAAGUGGUCUGGUGGAAGCCGCUGAUUGGUGGAAGCGGACCAGACGAAGCAGCUGAUUGGGAGCAAACCCGGGCACUGGAUAGAC
Amblyraja radiata (thorny skate) is the source of this 183-nucleotide long non-coding RNA. RefSeq lists it as uncharacterized. NCBI's taxonomy places the organism in Eukaryota, Metazoa, Chordata, Chondrichthyes, Rajiformes, Rajidae. The record is from RefSeq and is a predicted model, not a curated record. The transcript has 3 exons.